This is a non-coding RNA of Dipodomys ordii (Ord's kangaroo rat), 70 nucleotides long. Lineage: Eukaryota; Metazoa; Chordata; Mammalia; Rodentia; Heteromyidae. The record is from Rfam.
GGGAAUGUGGCCUAUUGGUAGAGUGCUUGCCUAGAAUGCAUGAAGACCUAGGUUCAAUUCCUCAGUACCA